CGGAGGGGCGAGCGUUGUUCGGAAACAUUGGGCGUAAAGGGCGCGUAGGCGGCCUUGCAAGUCGGGUGUGAAACCCCUCGGCUCAACCGAGGAACCGCACUCGAUACUGCCGGGCUAGAGUCCGGGAGGGGAUGGUGGAAUUCCCAGUGUAGCGGUGAAAUGCGUAGAUAUUGGGAAGAACACCGGUGGCGAAGGCGGCCAUCUGGACCGGUACUGACGCUGAGGCGCGAAAGCUAGGGGAGCGAAUGGGAUUAGAUACCCCGGUAGUCCUAGCUGUAAACGAUGGGCACUUGAUGUGGCAGGUUCUGACCCCUGCCGUGUCGAAGCUAACGCGUUAAGUGCCCCGCCUGGGGAGUACGGUCGCAAGGCUG
RNAcentral lists this ribosomal RNA (371 nucleotides) under uncultured organism. RNAcentral's name for it is "bacterial SSU rRNA". It matches the Rfam family "Bacterial small subunit ribosomal RNA", at positions 527 to 896 of the family's 1533-position model. The record is from RNAcentral.